AACUUUUAGCAAUGGAUCUCUUGGUUCUGGCAUCGAUGAAGACCGCAGCGAAAUGCGAUCAGUAAUGUGAAUUGCAGAAUUCAGUGCAUCAUCGAAUCUUUGAACGCACAUUGCGCCCCCUGGUAUUCCGGGGGGCAUGCCUGUUCGAGCGUCAUUACAACCCUCAAGCUCUGCUUGGUAUUGGGCCCCGCCAGUUCUGGCGGGCCCUAAAGUCAGUGGCGGUGCCAGCCGGCUCCGAGCGUAGGAAUUCUUCUCGCUCUGGAGACCCGGUUGUGUGCUUGCCAGCAACCCCCAAUUUUUAAGGUUGACCUCGGAUCAGGUAGGGAUACCCGCUGAACUUAAGCAUAUCAAUAAGCGGAGGCU
Molecule: unclassified non-coding RNA, 363 nt
Filed under: uncultured fungus
Lineage: Eukaryota; Fungi
Description: sequence contains ITS2
Rfam family: 5.8S ribosomal RNA (bases 1-154)
Source: RNAcentral